Long non-coding RNA from Lagenorhynchus albirostris (white-beaked dolphin), 1419 nucleotides. RefSeq lists it as uncharacterized. The record is from RefSeq and is a predicted model, not a curated record. The transcript is spliced from 4 exons. NCBI's taxonomy places the organism in Eukaryota, Metazoa, Chordata, Mammalia, Artiodactyla, Delphinidae.
AAUUGAGGUUCAAAGAAGACAAGGCCUUACCAUAGGUCAGGGGACUUAUAUAUGGAAGGAUGGGUCCUGGAGUCAGGGUCUUCCAACAACUGGCCUGCUGAUGCUGACACAUGCCACCCAACGGCCUCCUGAAUGGCUUUCGUGCACAUACCUUGUUCAAGUAUGUGGAGGAGACCAAACUGAAAAGAAAGCAUCGUAGGUUUUAGACUGAAACAAAUCAGGGCUAACCAGUGGCUGAAAACCAACAACUGGAAGACACAAGAGAGAUGGAGGAAGCCCUUUGGCAGUAGAUGGCUGGGUCCCCGAGUCACCACCUGAAGAAGGACAACCCAGGAGUGUGUCUGACCAGGAAACCCCACUUUGGACUUGCCAUUGAGAUCUGGCUAAGCUGACCCACCAGUGUCCCCCAGGAUCAAGGAGGCAGAACUUGGAAGGACAUGAAGGUUGCCUUUGACACCCUCACGGUUGUACUAUUUUCACUCUUCUGAAUUCUUAUGGCUUCUCUUCUCAGACCUACCCAGGGGCUUCUGGCUCUCUCGUGGCUCCCUGAAUCCUCUGCUAUGACAGUAAGCUUAGGUCCACCUUAAUUAAAAAAAAAAAAGUAGCAAUAAUGACAAUCACAGCGACUGACAUUGGCUCUUUCUCAUGUGCCUGAUGUUAUGCUAAGAAUCACAUUCACGUUAUCCUCCAUGACUUUCCUCAGCAGCUGUAUGAAGCGGCUCUGUGUGUGACAGACACCGUUGGUGCCCAUCUCCAUCUCCUUGCUCCACCCCAGGAAGCCUCCUGUGGGCAGUCUGGUCUCCUGCGUGAUGGCGGUGUCUCUCUGCCUGACAUGUGCUCUGGCCUCAUGGGAAGAUCCUCAGCCUAGUUGGGGGCUAAGCGGGAAGUACCCAUGAAUCCUUGGCCCAGGAACAACCCUCAACCUUGGAAGAAUGGGAAUUCCUGUAUAAAUCCCCCCAGGUUCCUUUCCCUUUGUUGGGACAAUUCUGAAGCAAGUUCCCACAGUGUCCCAAAGGGUCCUCACAGGGGUUGAAAGAAGUGACCACAGUGGGAACCCCUCACUGAAGCCACUUGGACUGAUUUUCCCCCCCUCCCAUCUCACUUCUCCAGUGGUCCCAGGGAUUACCACCCAAACUUGCUCCCCAUUCUUGACUCAAGAUUUGCCCUUGGGGGAAUCCAAACUGAGAUCACACAUGAUUGUUCUUACAUAACACAGGAGAAGUGGAGGCUUAGCGAGGCUGAACUGCCUGCUGUUGUAUAGCUGGUGGAUGACCAGGCAAGACUCGAACCAGGAUUAUUAUUAUUCUCUCCCUGCCUUAUUCUGCUUCCAUCAGAAAUAGUCUGGACCAAUUGUUCUAGUUAAAUGAUUGAAUUAAUUAAUAUAUAGCUUCUUUGCAAAAAGGACUUGAGUUUGCAGAG